CAGCCAUUGUCUGUCACUCAUUUGUGCCCAGAAUAUUCUAUAAGAGACUGUGGCAGCUGCUGACAUGGAAGUCAAGGAAAGCAGAGCAAAUUCUGUCUCUGCCAAUGCCAAUAUCAAUAUCGAAGUACAAGGAUUCUUCGAGAACACCAUCUGAAAAGCCCGAUUGGAUUUCAGCAAUUAAACGGGAUGGAUGGAUGGUGCCCAACGAAAUACACACACCUGUGUAGCGAUCAUUUCAGGUACUCUUCUGUGUAAAUCUCGACGACUUAUUCACCA
Syngnathoides biaculeatus (alligator pipefish) is the source of this 276-nucleotide long non-coding RNA. RefSeq lists it as uncharacterized. NCBI's taxonomy places the organism in Eukaryota, Metazoa, Chordata, Actinopteri, Syngnathiformes, Syngnathidae. The record is from RefSeq and is a predicted model, not a curated record. The transcript is spliced from 3 exons.